This 215-nucleotide long non-coding RNA is filed under the name Olea europaea (common olive). RNAcentral describes it as "long non-coding RNA (OEUR_LNC003590)". The record is from RNAcentral. Lineage: Eukaryota; Viridiplantae; Streptophyta; Magnoliopsida; Lamiales; Oleaceae.
GGAUAAUCAGCAAGGGAAUAGUUCGAACAAUACUCAACAUGAGAAAAAACAAAGUUUGGGUGAGAUGUUCAACCAGUCCAUACGGAAGACAAACAAGGUAUUCCAGUAGAUUGACACUAACUUUCAGAAUCAGCAAGCAUCCAUCAAGAAAUUGGAAACACAAAUUGUUCAGAUAGCUCAACAGUUGGCAGAACGCACGCAAGGGACAUUGCCAG